AGAGACAGGGUUUCUCCAUGUUGGCCAGACUGGUCUCGAACUCUUGACCUCGGGUGAUCCACCAGCCUCGGCCUCCCAAAGUGCUGGGAUUAUAGGAGUGAACUACCAUGCUUGGCCCAAUUACAGAUUUUUUAAGUUUAGGUUUUGACAGUAUAUCUCACCUCAGCCUUUCUCUCUCUCUGUCACGCAGCCCACAGGGGAGACGGUAAGGUCAGUGUGGGGGCUAAUGAAUAAAUGCUACAUGGUGCCCACUGAGGUGGGUAAGGGCUAGGCACUUCUCUUCCCCUGGAGUGGGGUGGCUGUGCUGGGUACCCUUGGCAGACACGGUAAGGGGGACUGCACCUGGAGAGGGUGGGCCAGUUGGGGAAGGACUGCUCAGCACUCGUAACUGUGUGUCACCCCUCGCACUUCUCUCUGCAGAGACACAGGAGGGGGAAGAAGCCAGCCUCUGAGGUAAGGCUUCCCCUGGAAGGCCCUGGGCUGGGGCUCUCUCCUGUCAGAGCUCAGUUACACACAGGGCGAGGAGUCCCAGGGUAGUGGCGGGCCCCCUCCAGGAAAUUCACAAGGUUACCACAGCUCAGCUGAAAAGGUAGAACUUCCCAGAAUGUGGCACCCUAGUGUGAGAACAUGAGGAGGAUGAGAUGUUCUGACGGUGUUUUUUUUGAGAUGGAGUUUUGCUCUUGUUGCCCAGGCUGGAGUGCAAUGGUGUGAUCUCGUCAAACUGCAACCUCCACCACCUGGGUUCAAGCAGUUCUCCUGUCCAGCCCUCCCGAGCAGCUGGGAUUGCAGCUCAUGACCCCCAGGGGGCCUGGAGGACUGAAUGAUGUUGCUCCCCAAGGAGGAGGCUGCCAUCUUGUCUCAGGAGAGAGAGCAGGUGAAGUCCCCAUGGGAGGAAGCAUCUAGCCCCAUUCCUGCUGAGCAAGAGGUGGCAGGGACCCCAGGCUGGGAGGUAAGGACAGCCUGAGGCUUCAGCUGGAACAUCUCCAGCAUGAGUCCAACUGAGCAGGCAGAGAGGCACUGCUGGAGGCUGGCUCAACCCCAAGAUGAGCAGGCCAAGCUGCCAUUUUAGGUGAGCGAGGACAUCUGUGCGGAGCUGAGAGACGGCAGCCAUGUGUGAACAGACUGGGUCUCAUCCUGGCCUCCCCUGACUUCAUGUGGACAGAGCCUGUUUCCCUGUCUGUGCAGCACAGAACCUUUCUGAUCUCAUUGCUGGGUCCCUCUUCUUCCUGCCAGGAAAAUAAACAGGUUCCAAAGGAA
Long non-coding RNA from Sapajus apella (tufted capuchin), 1257 nucleotides. RefSeq lists it as uncharacterized. The transcript is spliced from 2 exons. The record is from RefSeq and is a predicted model, not a curated record. NCBI's taxonomy places the organism in Eukaryota, Metazoa, Chordata, Mammalia, Primates, Cebidae.